UACGAGGGGGGCAAGCGUUGUUCGGAAUUAUUGGGCGUAAAGGGCGCGUAGGCGGACAGUUUAGUCAGAGGUGAAAGCCCAGGGCUCAACCUUGGAAUUGCCUUUGAUACUGGCUGUCUUGAGUUCGGGAGAGGUGAGUGGAAUGCCGAGUGUAGAGGUGAAAUUCGUAGAUAUUCGGCGGAACACCAGUGGCGAAGGCGACUCACUGGCCCGAUACUGACGCUGAGGCGCGAAAGCGUGGGGAGCAAACAGG
Molecule: ribosomal RNA, 253 nt
Filed under: uncultured bacterium
Lineage: Bacteria
Description: partial 16S ribosomal RNA
Rfam family: Bacterial small subunit ribosomal RNA
Source: RNAcentral